This 219-nucleotide unclassified non-coding RNA is filed under the name Hevea brasiliensis (rubber tree). Lineage: Eukaryota; Viridiplantae; Streptophyta; Magnoliopsida; Malpighiales; Euphorbiaceae. The record is from RNAcentral.
GUGGGAUGUGUGUGUGCGCAACCGUCGCAUUUGUAGCUCUUGUCGUACUCGCUUGGGUGUAUCCUUUAACAGUUCUACUUCUUGACUUUGACUUCUGAUUUUUCUGUUUUCGCGGUUUACGUUACGUCCUUGUCCUGUGGCUCCUGUGCGAGUACUCGCGGCCCGGGACGGACAUAUCUUUCUACUUCUAUACGUACUCCCUUUUUGUCGCGCUGGUUG